RNAcentral lists this ribosomal RNA (1006 nucleotides) under Cordyceps sp. RNAcentral's name for it is "SSU rRNA". It matches the Rfam family "Eukaryotic small subunit ribosomal RNA", at positions 94 to 1110 of the family's 1831-position model. Lineage: Eukaryota; Fungi; Ascomycota; Sordariomycetes; Hypocreales; Cordycipitaceae. The record is from RNAcentral.
UGGCUCAUUAUAUAAGUUAUCGUUUAUUUGAUAGUACCUUACUACUUGGAUAACCGUGGUAAUUCUAGAGCUAAUACAUGCUGAAAAUCCCGACUUCGGAAGGGAUGUAUUUAUUAGAUUAAAAACCAAUGCCCUCUGGGCUUCUUGGUGAUUCAUAAUAACUUUUCGAAUCGCACGGCCUUGCGCCGGCGAUGGUUCAUUCAAAUUUCUUCCCUAUCAACUUUCGAUGUUUGGGUAUUGGCCAAACAUGGUCGCAACGGGUAACGGAGGGUUAGGGCUCGACCCCGGAGAAGGAGCCUGAGAAACGGCUACUACAUCCAAGGAAGGCAGCAGGCGCGCAAAUUACCCAAUCCCGAUUCGGGGAGGUAGUGACAAUAAAUACUGAUACAGGGCUCUUUUGGGUCUUGUAAUUGGAAUGAGUACAAUUUAAAUCCCUUAACGAGGAACAAUUGGAGGGCAAGUCUGGUGCCAGCAGCCGCGGUAAUUCCAGCUCCAAUAGCGUAUAUUAAAGUUGUUGUGGUUAAAAAGCUCGUAGUUGAACCUUGGGCCUGGCUGGCCGGUCCGCCUCACCGCGUGUACUGGUCCGGCCGGGCCUUUCCCUCUGUGGAACCUCAUGCCCUUCACUGGGUGUGGCGGGGAAACAGGACUUUUACUUUGAAAAAAUUAGAGUGCUCCAGGCAGGCCUAUGCUCGAAUACAUUAGCAUGGAAUAAUAAAAUAGGACGUGUGGUUCUAUUUUGUUGGUUUCUAGGACCGCCGUAAUGAUUAAUAGGGACAGUCGGGGGCAUCAGUAUUCAAUUGUCAGAGGUGAAAUUCUUGGAUUUAUUGAAGACUAACUACUGCGAAAGCAUUUGCCAAGGAUGUUUUCAUUAAUCAGNAACGAAAGUUAGGGGAUCGAAGACGAUCAGAUACCGUCGUAGUCUUAACCAUAAACUAUGCCGACUAGGGAUCGGACGAUGUUAUUUUUUNGACGCGUUCGGCACCUUACGAGAAAUCAAAGUGCUUGG